UUCCCGAGACCCCAUAACAGUUGCUCAUAAAAUGGGAAUACAACCAAAAAGAAAUUUAGAGUCCUAGAACCCCUCCCACCGUCCACUCUUAUCUUUCGACCAACACACAUAAAAAACAAACAACAGAAGGCAAUCCUCAUUUCCAUUGAAAAAGGAACCAAAUUCCUAAUACCUGGAGAAAAACCAGCGAAAUCUUCCCAAAAAAAUCGUCCCAAAAACAGCCAUAAACAUCCCAUUAUAGCUCAAACUUUAACCCAGAAAUUCACCUUCAAUCAGUCCAUAAAUUAUUACCUUUAGCUAUCAAAAUUCGGCCUCAAAAUAAAGCUGAAAACUGCUUCAAACUAGCUAAAAAAAUGCAGCAGAACAGUACCAUAACAACAACGAUUUUGUUCGAGGUCAUUGAGUCGAGGUUUCCACGUCGAGGGGUCUGCCGGAAGUUGUCCGAUCAUGGAAUCUGCUAUAAUGUAAAGUUCAAAAUCAGCUAUAUGCCAAGGUUCCUUUUUCUUUCUAUUCUGUUUCUCUAUUAAUAAUUGGGACCAUUUCAUAUUGUUUUAAUUUCAAGUUUAACAUGAAUGAGUGUUGUUUCUGAGUAUCUUAUGUUCGGACCAUUAUUUUACUCGGUGUUUGUUGGAAAUUUGAAUGAAUAUUUAGUGUUUGCUUGAAUUGUUGAAUUUUGAAAAUAAAGAGGAUAUAUGACUAUGUGAAAUCAUAAAAUAUGAUGGCCUUAUGGGUGUGAGUUUGCCAUCAAUUUUCAUAUUGUUCUUGAGCUUGGAAUACAAGGCAUAUUAAUACUGUGCAUCUGCUUGUGGGAAUUGUGCUACUCGUAUCUGGUAUGUCCGUGAACCAGGUGUGCCCUCUCAAAAAAAAUAAAUUCCUUGAUCGAUAUUUUGGUUCAUACAGUUUUUUAGGAUGUACUUGGUUGACUUUUUCUUUGAAUGAGCACUUGAAAAAGAAACUGUUAUUUUGAGCUGAUUUGAUUUGGUUGAUAAUUCAAAUGAUUGAUUUGUUAUUUGUUUAAAGGCGUAUAAACUAGGCACCAUAUAUGUUGUUGGUUUGAUUUUCAACCAUAGCUGCAAAUGGAAUUAAAGGGUCUAAGUAUUGAAAUGUUUAGGAUGCGGACGAGUUGAAGCAAGUUUACGGCUUAUUUUUAUUUGCUGUAGAUGCAUAGUUAAUGGGACUAAGCAUUUUAAUCAUUCAAGAAAAAGUCAGUCAGAGAUGAUUGCUAGUUUCAGAGGAGGGUUGAGAUUUUUUUAAUGAAUUUUAUCUCAAUUAGUUGAAAAGUUCUCUAAUCUUAAUUGAAUAUUAUGUACCCAAUAAGUCAACAAAUCACUUUCUUGGAAAUCUUUUUUUUCCUUAAAAAUAGAAUAAUUUUGAGGCGUGUUAUGCCAAAUAAAAUCUCAAAACCUAUGGACCUCACUUAAUUAAUUUUAAUCCUUUAGAAAUCGAGGUGUGCCAUUUAGUUGAAUUUUCUAUGGCCCUCGCAAAGUUGUAAAUGCGUAGUUGCAUUAGGCGCUUUAUUUUAUUAAUUUACCUUUCUUAACCCGGGUGCACAUUAUGAGAUCCAAAUCUAAAUCUCAACAACAUUAAUGUGUUGCGGACCGCAGGUGCAUUUAUGUGACGUGGAUCAAGACAUAUUUUAAAUGACGUUAGAAAUCUUUCUUCAUAAAUAAUUAAAAGUGGUUAAGGUUAAAAACACACAUAGGUUUAAAAAUUGUAAUAAAAUUAGAUAAUAGGCCAAUAAUAACAGUUGAGCGAUAGUGCUAGAACCACAGAACUCGGGAAUGCCUAACAACUUCUCCCGAGUUAACAAAAUUCCUUACCCAGUUUUUUGAUUCGCGGACUGUAAUACAGAGUCAACCUUUUCCUUGAUUCGGGAUUUGAACCGGUAACUUGGGACACCAUAAAUUAUCCUAAGUGGCGACUCUGAAUUUUAAAUAGACAAAUAAUCCCGUUUCGAUUGUCACUUUAAUUUGAAAAAAACUACCUUGAUACGCCUUUCCGGAGGUGUAGUAAAAAAGGAGGUAUGACAACACAAGAAAUUUAGAACGACACAGGAAGCUUGCUGGGUAGGAAUGAACACGAUGAUGUUGCCAUGGUUAUUUCAGAGUCAUGACAUGGACCAAAAGGUCCGCCUCACCAACAUACCCAACCUCAACUUCAACCCCAAACUUAGCCCCGAGCUUCACAUAAUCCACCUCAGUAUUAUCCUCGAACCAUGUCCAUUCAUUUGUCCAACCACCAGGUUACUCCCUAUGGCGAGCACCAGCACCGCAUACUGCAUUCUUGCCUUCACAACAUUUUCGAGUGCCCAACAACCCUAGAUAACAGGGGCAGGGAAGAGAACAAAGGCAGAUAAAUAGUUUCACGCCAAUUGGGAGUCCUACACCAGCUUGUUUGAAUAGUUAAAGCAUUCUAGCAUAAUUGAGCAGCUUCUCGGCUAUACUCCAGGCCCAUAUGCAAAAGGCUUUGAUCCUACUGUCUGAUGCAUGUACCACUUUAAUGUCCAAGGGCAUAGCAUUGAAGAUUCGUUCUUUGAAAAGGGAAAUAGAAAGAAUGAUCCAAGAAGGGUAAUUGUGAUCGAUGACGGUGACAUGGAGCAUGCAAAUCCUCUUGGGAACUUGUUGACUUAAGUUGAUGAUAUUGAAAUUGGUAAUGGUCUUGGCAAUAUUGAUGCCGAACUCAGUGGCUAAGGUGCCGUGCUUGGUAAAUGGAAAGACACUCCAUUUCUUGGUCAGCCGGAGAGGAGUUUUAGUGGUUUAUUUUUUUGUCAUUUAUGUUGUCCAGGUUAUUUUCAAGGUUGUAAUUCGGAUAUUGUCUUGUGACUCAAACCCUUCUAUCUUUUAUUUUGCCUAGUUUAUUUAGUCAUAGUAGCUCGUUUAGUAUUGUCUAGGUUUGUUCUAGGUUUGUAACCCCAGUUUCGAAUUGUACUCCCUUUUUCUUAAGGUGCGUGCCUGAUUACCAUACUUGAAUUAUAUUUCCUCGUUCUCCAGGUAGGUGCCUGAUUGCCAAUACUUGAACUGUCUUCAUUCGAAACUUGGACGGCCUUCCUUGAAAUCUGUGCUAUCUUCCUUUGAAACUUGAAUUAUUUUUCUUUAUUUUCUAAGUGGGUGCCUGCUUGCUGGACUUGAGUCGUCUUCCUUUGAACAUUGCUGCCUUCCCUUUGUUCUCCACGUGGGCGUCUAAUUACCAACAUUUGAAUUGUAUUCCUUUCCUCUGAAACUUAAAUUGGUUUCCCUUGAAACUUGAACUAUUUUCCUUUGAAACUUGAACUGCUCUCCUUAUUCUCCAUGCGGGCGCCUGAUUUCCAAAACUUUAAUUGUAUUCCCUUGCUUUCCAGGUGGGCGCCUGAUUGCCAAAACUUGAAAUGUAUUCCCUUGCUCUCCAGGCCCCUUGCUUUCCAGGUGAGCGCCUGAUUGCCAAAACUUGAAAUGUAUUCCCUUGCUCUCCAGGCAGGUGCCUAACUACCAAAAACUUAAACUGUAUUCCCUUGUUCUCCACGUGGGCUCGUGAGUGCCAAAAACUUGAACUGUAUCCCCUUGUUCUCCAGGUGGACGGCUGACUGCCAAAAACUUGAACUGUAUUCCUUUGUUCUCCAGGUGGGCUCCUGACUGCCAAAAACUUGAAUUGUAUCCCCUUGUUCUCAAGGUGGGCACCUAACUACCAAAACUUAAACUGUAUUCCCUUGUUCUCUAGGUCGGCUCCUGACUGCCAAAAGCUUGAACUGUAUCACUUUGUUCUCUAGAUGGGCGUCUGACUGCCAAAACUUGAACUGUAUUCUCUUGUUCUCCAGGUGAGCGCCUGACUUUCAGAACAUGAACUAUAUUCCCUUGUUCUCCAGGUGGGCUCUUGAUUGUCAAAAACUUGAAUUUUAUCCCCUUGUUCUCCAGGUGGACGCCUGACUGCCAAAACUUGAACUGUAUUCUCUUGUUUUCUAGGUGGGCUCCUAACUACUAAAAACUUGAACUGUAUCCCCUUGUUCUCCAAGUGGGCUACUGACUGCCAAAAACUUGAACUGUAUCUCCUUGUUCUCCAGAUGGGCGCUUGACUGCCAAAAACUUGAAUUAUAUUUCCUCGUUCUCCAGGUAGGUGCCUGAUUAGCAUAACUUGAAUUAUAUUCCCUCGUUCUCCAGGUGGGUGCCUUACUACCAAAAAAUGAAUUAUUUUCCCUUGUUCUCCAGGUGUGUGCCUGAUUACCAAAGCUCGAAUUGUAUUCCCUUGUUCUCUAGGUGGGUGCCUGAUUACCAAACUUGAAUUAUAUUCCCUCAUUCUCCAGGUGGGUGCCUGAUUAGCAAAACUCGAAUUGUGUCCCCUUGUUCUCCAGCUGGGUACUUGAUUUGGCUCAGAAUUUUGCAUGCAUGUCAUGUCACUAGAGUCAACAGGAAGAGAACUAUAAAAAGAAAAGAGAACUAAAUCAAAAUGACUAGAAAUUACAGAAUACAAAAAAUUGCAUUAGACAGAUAGUUAAAGGGUUUGGACAACAAAUCAAGCUAACUAAAAUGGGGUUACAAACCUAGAACAAACCUAGACAACACUAAACAAGCUACUACGACUUAACAAACUAGGAAAAAUAAAAGGAUAGAAGGAUUUGAUUCACAAGAAAAUAUCCGGAUUACAACCCUGAAAAUAACCUGGACAGUAGAAAUGCCAACAAAAUGAACCACCUAAACUCCUCUCUGGCUGACCAAGAAAUGGAGCGUCUUUCCAAUUACCAAGCACGACAUCUUAGCCACUGAGUUCCGCAUACUAGUGGAUCCUAAGGGGUUCCUACCACCUUUUUUGGGAUAAUUUCAAGCCCUUACCUUAUCUCUGGUUACCAAACAUAGUUGUAGUUGAACCCCAUUGGUGCCCUAACACACCUUAAAAUCGUUAGGUGGCAAUUCUUCAAAAUUGUAAAACCCCUUUGCCAAAAGGAAAGAGUUGACCUAAUAGAAUGUCAUAAACCCAAUUUUGUAAGAAAAAGGGGGGCGCGACAGGCCCCAGGCACUCAGCCCAUUUCUAUCCCUCCAUACCGUACAUGUCAUUAUAAGUUACUGCCUUAACCUCGUCACUACUUCGUCGAGGUUUGGCUCGGAACUUACAGAGUACAUGGGUCAAUUGUACGCAUACUACACUAUGUACGUUCUUGUGCAGAUUUUGGAAUCGGUCCUAGCGGCGAUCCGUAGAUUGCUCUGUCGGUGAUUGAGUAGAGACUUGAGGUACAAUUGCUCAGUAUCCUCAGCCUUUAAAGUCCUUUUCUUUUUAUUAUAGUUGUGUACUUUCUCUUAGACAUAUCUAUUUUUAUUUGGACCCUUUAUUUGUACUAUUCUGGUAGCUCGUGUACUUGUUACUCCAGAUUCGGGUUGCAUCAGAGAUUUUACUUGAUAUAUUUUACUCUCUUUACAUUAGAGUUUAUCUUACUUAUAUCAGUUUCUUUAUUAUUAUUUAAUUUUCACUGUUGAUAAUGAAUAAAUACUCUAACAUUGUCUUUCCUAGGGAGUGAAAUAUUAGGCACUAUCAUGAUUCCGAAGCUAGGAAUUCUGGAUCACUACAAGUUGGUAUUAGAGCUCUACCUAGGCCUUUCUUCUAGAAUCCACCUCCAAACCACUCGUAUCUAUCACAAUUGACUCGAUAAUGACAAAUAAUUCUAAGGGAAUCAAUUACAGUGCAUAAAGUUAGUAUUUUCACACUUUUCCCAAAAAGCCAAAAAAGUCAAUCCCAGACGUGUUUGGUCGAAACCCGAUAUUUGGACCAACUCCAAUUUACCCAUUCACCUCUGAGCCUGAUUAUGUAAUCAAUUUCAAAAUCUAACCCCAAAUCGAGGUCGAAAUAUCAAAUUCGAAAAAAUCCUCCCAAUUUACCCAUUCAUCUCUGAGCCUGAUUAUGUAAUCAAUUUCAAAAUCUAACCCCAAAUCAAGGUCUAAAUAUCAAAUUCGAAAAAAUCCUAAUUCUUCGUAAACCCCCUGUUUUCUACCGGAGAAGAGCAAAAAUUAAGGCUACAAAUUAAUGGGUGAUGUUAGAAAUGGAUGAAAAUGAGUGAAGGUAUACUAACAUAUGAAUUCGUGCUGAAAUUUCUCCUCCAAAAUCGCCUCUAGGUCGAGCUCUAAUGGAAACGGUGCGAAAAAAGGAUGAAAUCCCAAUUUUGAAACAUUUAAGUCACUGGGCGUCAGGCCUUCUUUGCUUUCGCGAAGGGUGUGAUGCGAUCGCGGAGUGUAGUGGCCCAAGUGGCUGACGCGUUUGCAAGAAGUGCCCUAUAUUUGCGUUGGUUCUCCCCUAUGACCAUCGUGUUCACGACCCUAGGUCCACGUUCGUGUAGCACUGCAAUCCAGUACCUCCAGGUCUAUAACCUUACGCGUUCGCGAAGGUAUGGGCACGUUCGUGAAGGGAUUGCCCCCUACUUUUAUGCUUUCGCAUCCAUCUCCUCGUGUUUGCAUAGAAAAAUUCUCCCCCAGUCCCAAUUUACUUUUCACGAUCGCGGGAGUGUCUUCGCGAUCACAAAGAAGCUUUGACCGAACACCAGCAGAAAUCAAAACCAACAAUUUUCCCAAGACAAAAUGGUCUGAAACCUAGGGCUCCAAACCAAACAUGCACACAAGUCCAAAAAUAUUAUAUGAACUUGUUCGCGCGAUCAAAGCACCAAAAUAACACCUAAAACUACGAAUAAAAAAUCAAAACUUAUGAAAUUUUUAAUAAAGCUUAAGAUCUUUUAUUUUAACAACUAGACGUCCGAAUCAUGUCAAAAAACUCUGUUUUGUACUAAAAUUUGCACACGUCAUAAAUACAGUAAUGAACAUAUACCAAGCUCCGAAACCGAAAUUUGGACCCGGUAGAAACAAUAAAUUCUUUAAACCUUUAAUCAUUGAAUUUGUAACAAAUUGUAUAACUCGAGCUAGGGACCUUUGAAUUCGAUUCUGGGCAUACAUCCAAGUCCAAAAUCAAGAUACUUACCCAUCAAGACCAUCAAAAUAUAUAUAUCCAUAUUUGUUUGCUCAAAAUGUUAAUCGAAGUUAAUUCAAAUAUAUUUUAAGGCACAAAUUUACAUUUUAAUCAAUUUUCAUAUAAAAGCCUUCCGAAAAAAUACAUAGAUUGUACAUGCAAAUUGAGGAAGACUGAAAGGAUCUAUUUGAGAUUUCGAAAUACGGAAUCAAGGGUUAAAACUCUAGAUAACAUAUUGGAUCAUCAAAAUACAUGAUUCUUGACGAGACUAAGUAAAUAUAAUGUUGAGAUUUUAUUCUGGGUCAGAAGAGGAGGUUAGGGAACUGAGAGAAAUCCAUAAGCCUUUUCAUGAAUUAAAUAGGUAUAUUAUAUAAACAGGCUAAAAUGUUAUAGAUUAUGAACUAAUUGAAGUACUCAUAGUAUGGGUAAAUAUAAUUCGGCAAAUUGAUGGUCAAACAUGAACCUCUUAUGAUAAUAUAUAUUUUAAAUUAGUUAUGAAUUAGUUUGAACUAGAAAAUUGACAUGAGAUUGAUAUGAUGUGAUUGUAGAUUGAUCAGAGUAAGUUGUGCGGAUUGCUCGAGGUAAAGUGUUUAUUAAUUCAAUACGAGUAAUGUGAGUAGUAUCCUUACCGCAAUUUGUGUUUCCAUAACUUACAUGAUUUACACAUGAUUUUUAAUAUAAACACGUUAUCGAUUAUUUUAAAUUUGCAUGUGGGAAUAGUCCUUUAUUCAAUAUGAUACCGAUGCAAAUAUUUGAGAUGAUUACAGUUGUUAUGAAUAUUCUCACUGUUACUAGAUAGAUUUUACCGUUACUUAAGUUAUGAUUACUCUUAUCGAAUGAAAUUACAUGAUUUGAUAAGAACUAAAUGCCUUGUACUAUUUUAAAAAUAUUUUCAUAUAAGUAUUGAAGGAUUAUAAUGACAAGUAUAAAUGGGAGGAGACUUUGAAGGAUCUCAUAGCUAACGACGGGUUCGUUAGACAUGGUGCACCUUUUAUUUACAGAUUACCUAUUAUGCCCUCAUUAGUGAGAAGGUAGAACUGACAUACAAUUGUAGUCUUCCCUCAAGUAAGGACCUAAAAUUAUAAUUAACUCCUUCUAUGAAGGGGCCCACACAAUGAUGAAAAUUACACGUUCCUUUUCUAGAAAACCCCAAAUAUAAUUCUAUGAAGGGGCCCACACAAUGAUAAAAAUUACACGUUCCUUUUCUAGAAAGCCCCAAAUAUAAAGAUUUGCUAUGAGACAGUAUUUGUUGACUUUAUCACCAAAUUGUUAAAUCGAUUUUGUUACAGAAAACACAUGAUGAGACUGAUUAUUAUUACCAUUUUAAAAAGGGCAUUUAUUUUUAUGAUAGUUCUGCUUAUUAUUGUACAAGCAUGUUUUAUGAAUUUCCCCCAUUAUAUACGGUUUUGGUUAAGUGUUUUUACUCACUAAACUAGUGACUCACUCUAUGCUAUUUUUUACAAAGACAGCAGUUGACGCAUGCAAGGAUUUCGUUAAGCAGAGCGCAUAUGUUGAUAGUUCUUG
RNAcentral lists this long non-coding RNA (8436 nucleotides) under Nicotiana benthamiana. RNAcentral describes it as "long non-coding RNA (NBEN_LNC026983)". Lineage: Eukaryota; Viridiplantae; Streptophyta; Magnoliopsida; Solanales; Solanaceae. The record is from RNAcentral.